CUACGGGGGGCUGCAGUGGGGAAUUUUGCGCAAUGGGGGCAACCCUGACGCAGCAAUACCGCGUGAGUGAAGAAGGCCUUUGGGUCGUAAAGCUCUUUUCUAAGGGAAGAUAGUGACGGUACCUUAGGAAUAAGCACCGGCUAACUCCGUGCCAGCAGCCGCGGUAAUACGGAGGGUGCGAGCGUUGUUCGGAUUUACUGGGCGUAAAGGGCACGUAGGCGGCCUAGCAAGUUAAGGGUGAAAUCCCGGGGCUCAACUCCGGAACUGCUCUUAAAACUGCUAAGCUAGAGAUAGUCAGAGGCGGGUGGAAUUCCAGGUGUAGAGGUGAAAUUCGUAGAUAUCUGGAGGAACACCGGUGGCGAAGGCGGCCCGCUGGGGCUAUUCUGACGCUGAGGUGCGAAAGCGUGGGGAGCGAACGGAAUUAGAUACCCCCGUAGUC
This 439-nucleotide ribosomal RNA is filed under the name uncultured bacterium. RNAcentral's name for it is "partial 16S ribosomal RNA". It matches the Rfam family "Bacterial small subunit ribosomal RNA", at positions 339 to 795 of the family's 1533-position model. The record is from RNAcentral.